UUUCCGUAGGUGAACCUGCGGAAGGAUCAUUAAUGAGUUGUCAUAGGGUUCGAUGCUGGCAGCCAGUUUUUGGAUGCAUGUGCUUGCUCUAACAAUCAUCUUCUUCCAAACACCUGUGCACAUUUUUGAGGGAGUCUUGAGUUGGUUGCCGCUCUUGGGUGAUUUUCUCACAUUCCCUUAAAUCAUUAUACGCUAUUAACAAUGUUGAACGUGCUCUGUGCCGCAAGGCCAUUAAUAUAAUACAACUUUUAGCAACGGAUCUCUUGGCUCUCACAUCGAUGAAGAACGCAGC
Molecule: unclassified non-coding RNA, 292 nt
Filed under: plant metagenome
Description: partial contains small subunit ribosomal RNA, internal transcribed spacer 1, and 5.8S ribosomal RNA
Rfam family: 5.8S ribosomal RNA (bases 244-292)
Source: RNAcentral